AGGAUAAACGCUGGCGGCGUGCCUAACACAUGCAAGUCGAACGUCCUACGCAAGUAGGGAGUGGCGGACGGGUGAGUAGCACGUGGGCAAUCUACCUUUCGGUGAGGAAUACCGGCGAGAAAUCGCCGACAAUACCGCAUACGCUUCGCAAGAAGCAAAGUCGCAAGACGCCGGAGGAGGAGCCUGCGCCCGAUUAGCUAGUUGGUGAGGUAAGAGCUCACCAAGGCGACGAUCGGUAGCUGGUCUGAGAGGAUGAUCAGCCACACUGGGAUUGAGAACGGCCCAGACUCCUACGGGGGCAGCAGUGAGGAAUUUUCGUCAAUGGGGGCAACCCUGAACGAGCAACGCCGCGUGCAGGAAGAAGGUUUUCGGAUCGUAAACUGCUUUUCUCGGGGAAGAGAAUGGACGGUACCCGAGGAAUCAGCCCCGGCUAACUACGUGCCAGCAGCCGC
Molecule: ribosomal RNA, 452 nt
Filed under: uncultured bacterium
Lineage: Bacteria
Description: SSU rRNA
Rfam family: Bacterial small subunit ribosomal RNA
Source: RNAcentral